CCUACGGGGGGCUGCAGUGAGGAAUAUUGGUCAAUGGACGAGAGUCUGAACCAGCCAAGUAGCGUGAAGGAUGACUGCCCUAUGGGUUGUAAACUUCUUUUAUAAAGGAAUAAAACGAGGCACGUGUGCCUUUUUGCAUGUACUUUAUGAAUGAGGAUCGGCUAACUCCGUGCCAGCAGCCGCGGUAAUACGGAGGAUCCGAGCGUUAUCCGGAUUGAUUGGGUUUAAAGGGAGCGUAGAUGGGUUGUUAAGUCAGUUGUGAAAGUUUGCGGCUCAACCGUAAAAUUGCAAUUGAUACUGGCAGUCUUGAGUACAGUUGAGGUAGGCGGAAUUCGUGGUGUAGCGGUGAAAUGCUUAGAUAUCACGAAGAACCCCGAUUGCGAAGGCAGCUUACUAAACUGUGACUGACAUUGAUGCUCGAAAGUGUGGGUAUCAAACAGGAUUAGAUACCCGUGUAGUC
Molecule: ribosomal RNA, 460 nt
Filed under: uncultured bacterium
Lineage: Bacteria
Description: partial 16S ribosomal RNA
Rfam family: Bacterial small subunit ribosomal RNA
Source: RNAcentral